Molecule: non-coding RNA, 104 nt
Organism: Pteropus alecto (black flying fox)
Lineage: Eukaryota; Metazoa; Chordata; Mammalia; Chiroptera; Pteropodidae
Source: Rfam
GUGCUCUCUUCAACAGCACAUAUACUAAAAUUGGAAUGACACAGAGAUUAGCGUAGCCCCUAUGCAAGGAUGACACCCAAAUUUGUGAAGCAGUCCAUAUUUUU